AGUUAAUGAUCUUGAACUUAAAGUUUAUGUUUUGAAAACAUAUUAAAGAAAUUAUAAUUUUCUAUUAACUU
Molecule: transfer RNA, 71 nt
Filed under: Nylanderia flavipes
Lineage: Eukaryota; Metazoa; Arthropoda; Insecta; Hymenoptera; Formicidae
Description: tRNA-Ser
Source: RNAcentral